GUCGAGCGGUAACACAGAGAGCUUGCUCUCGGGUGACGAGCGGCGGACGGGUGAGUAAUGUCUGGGAAACUGCCUGAUGGAGGGGGAUAACUACUGGAAACGGUAGCUAAUACCGCAUAACGUCGCAAGACCAAAGUGGGGGACCUUCGGGCCUCAUGCCAUCAGAUGUGCCCAGAUGGGAUUAGCUAGUAGGUGGGGUAAUGGCUCACCUAGGCGACGAUCCCUAGCUGGUCUGAGAGGAUGACCAGCCACACUGGAACUGAGACACGGUCCAGACUCCUACGGGAGGCAGCAGUGGGGAAUAUUGCACAAUGGGCGCAAGCCUGAUGCAGCCAUGCCGCGUGUAUGAAGAAGGCCUUCGGGUUGUAAAGUACUUUCAGCGAGGAGGAAGGCAUUAAGGUUAAUAACCUUGGUGAUUGACGUUACUCGCAGAAGAAGCACCGGCUAACUCCGUGCCAGCAGCCGCGGUAAUACGGAGGGUGCAAGCGUUAAUCGGAAUUACUGGGCGUAAAGCGCACGCAGGCGGUCUGUCAAGUCGGAUGUGAAAUCCCCGGGCUCAACCUGGGAACUGCAUUUCGAAACUGGCAGGCUAGAGUCUUGUAGAGGGGGGUAGAAUUCCAGGUGUAGCGGUGAAAUGCGUAGAGAUCUGGAGGAAUACCGGUGGCGAAGGCGGCCCCCUGGACAAAGACUGACGCUCAGGUGCGAAAGCGUGGGGAGCAAACAGGAUUAGAUACCCUGGUAGUCCACGCCGUAAACGAUGUCGACUUGGAGGUUGUGCCCUUGAGGCGUGGCUUCCGGAGCUAACGCGUUAAGUCGACCGCCUGGGGAGUACGGCCGCAAGGUUAAAACUCAAAUGAAUUGACGGGGGCCCGCACAAGCGGUGGAGCAUGUGGUUUAAUUCGAUGCAACGCGAAGAACCUUACCUACUCUUGACAUCCAGAGAACUUAGCAGAGAUGCUUUGGUGCCUUCGGGAACUCUGAGACAGGUGCUGCAUGGCUGUCGUCAGCUCGUGUUGUGAAAUGUUGGGUUAAGUCCCGCAACGAGCGCAACCUUAUCCUUUGUUGCCAGCGGUCCGGCCGGGAACUCAAAGGAGACUGCCAGUGAUAAACUGGAGGAAGGUGGGGAUGACGUCAAGUCAUCAUGGCCCUUACGAGUAGGGCUACACACGUGCUACAAUGGCAUAUACAAAGAGAAGCGACCUCGCGAGAGCAAGCGGACCUCAUAAAGUAUGUCGUAGUCCGGAUUGGAGUCUGCAACUCGACUCCAUGAAGUCGGAAUCGCUAGUAAUCGUAGAUCAGAAUGCUACGGUGAAUACGUUCCCGGGCCUUGUACACACCGCCCGUCACACCAUGGGAGUGGGUUGCAAAAGAAGUAGGUAGCUUAACCUUCGGGAGGGCGCUUACCACUUUGUGAUUCAUGACUGGGGGAAGUCGAACAAGUUUACCUUGCCC
This 1452-nucleotide ribosomal RNA is filed under the name Klebsiella aerogenes. Its description in RNAcentral is "bacterial SSU rRNA". It matches the Rfam family "Bacterial small subunit ribosomal RNA". Lineage: Bacteria; Pseudomonadati; Pseudomonadota; Gammaproteobacteria; Enterobacterales; Enterobacteriaceae. The record is from RNAcentral.